Molecule: ribosomal RNA, 253 nt
Filed under: uncultured bacterium
Lineage: Bacteria
Description: partial 16S ribosomal RNA
Rfam family: Bacterial small subunit ribosomal RNA
Source: RNAcentral
CACGGGGGGAGCAAGCGUUGUUCGGAAUCACUGGGCGUAAAGGGCGUGUAGGCGGUCAGGUAAGUGGGACGUGAAAUCCCUCGGCUCACCCGAGGACCUGCGUCCCAUACUGCUUGGCUUGAGUAUGGGAGAGGAUGAGGGAAUUCCUGGUGUAGCGGUGAAAUGCGUAGAUAUCUGGAGGAACACCGGUGGCGAAGGCGACAUCCUGGACCGGUAUUGACGCUGAGGCGCGAAAGCCAGGGGAGCAAACGGG